This 253-nucleotide ribosomal RNA is filed under the name uncultured bacterium. Its description in RNAcentral is "partial 16S ribosomal RNA". It matches the Rfam family "Bacterial small subunit ribosomal RNA", at positions 524 to 776 of the family's 1533-position model. The record is from RNAcentral.
GACGAACCGUGCGAACGUUGUUCGGAAUCACUGGGCUUAAAGGGCGCGUAGGCGGGCUGCCAAGUCUGGGGUGAAAUCCCACGGCUCAACCGUGGAACUGCCUCGGAUACUGGCGGCCUCGAGGGGGGUAGGGGCGUGCGGAACUGUGGGUGGAGCGGUGAAAUGCGUUGAUAUCGGAAGGAACGCCGGUGGCGAAAGCGACGGACUGGAUCUCUUCUGACGCUGAGGCGCGAAAGCCAGGGGAGCAAACGGG